AUGGACUUUAUUGAAGGAUUGCCCAAAUCCCAAGGGAAGGAAGUUAUUCUGGUGGUAGUGGGCAGGUACACCAAAUAUGCUCACUUCAUAGCAUUAUCACACCCAUAUACUGUUCACACUGUGGCACAAGCCUUUGUGGACACUGUGUUCAGGUUACAUGGAACUCCUGUCAGCAUUAUCACUGAUCGGGACAGAAUUUUUACAAGCAAUAUGUGGCAAGGAAUCUUUAAAGCUAUGAAAAUUGAGUUGAAGAUGAGCACUGCACAUCACCCCCAAACAGAUGGGCAAUCGGAAAGGGUGAAUCAAUGUCUCGAGUCAUACUUACGAUGUAUGGCAUUUCAAGAACCAAAGAAAUGGGCAGCCUGGCUUCCACUAGCUGAAUGGUGGUAUAACACCUCUUACCAUACUGCAACAAGAGAAACACCAUUCAAAGCUCUCUAUGGCUAUGAUCCACCUAUGAUCAGUGAAGUGGCUAUCCCCGGCCCGUCUGAUGCUCAAGCAAAAGAUUUCCUAAGUGACAAACAGAACACCCUGCGCCAGCUCAAGCACAACUUACAACAAGCCCAAGAGAGGAUGAAGAAAUAUGCUGAUAUCAACAGAUCUGAGAGAAAAUUCAAAGUGGGGGGCAUGGUCUACUUACGAAUGCAACCGUAUAGAAUGGCUUCUUUUGGACUCAGGCAAGUCAUUAAACUCACAACCAAGUUCUGUGGGCCAUUCCGAGUGAUGGAAAAAAUUGGGAACUGCUCAUACAGGUUGCUACCCCCCCAAAUCACUAUUCAUCCUGUGUUUCACGUGAGCCAAUUGAAGGCACACAAGGGAACCCAUGCUGUUCCUGCGCAAGAACUGCCACUGAUUGGAGCUGAUGGGAGAAUCAGAACAGAGCCUGUACACGUACUGGAAACUCGAUCACUGCCGCGCAAUGGCGUUUUGGUCACCCAGUGGUUAAUACAGUGGGCAAACUUGCCACCCGAGGAGCCCUCCUGGGAAGAUGCCAAUUUCAUCAAAAGAGUAUUUCCAGUAUUCUUCAAAAGCACCAUCCAAUCUUGGUUUCCUGACAGUAACACUUGA
This 1068-nucleotide ribosomal RNA is filed under the name Triticum aestivum (bread wheat). Its description in RNAcentral is "partial small subunit ribosomal RNA". Lineage: Eukaryota; Viridiplantae; Streptophyta; Magnoliopsida; Poales; Poaceae. The record is from RNAcentral.